AUUGUUUUGGCAAGCUAGGAGAACACAUCUGACAGACAAAAAGGUUUCAUCAAAGACACACAGACAGCUCCUGAAGUAAAGGACCUACACAGGACCUUCAUAUCAAGGACAUUGACUGUGUGGAUCUCGAGGUGCAGUUACCCAAAAGUUGCUACCCACGGAAUACCAGGUUUUGAGGGAUCCUGCCAGAGCAGAGAAUCAACAGAUACAUUGAAGAGGAGACUCCGACAUGACCGCCGGCAUCUUGUGUUAUUCACCCCCACCACUUGUAAUACUGAAUGCCUGAA
Long non-coding RNA from Engraulis encrasicolus (European anchovy), 287 nucleotides. RefSeq lists it as uncharacterized. Lineage: Eukaryota; Metazoa; Chordata; Actinopteri; Clupeiformes; Engraulidae. The transcript has 3 exons. The record is from RefSeq and is a predicted model, not a curated record.